AAGCCAGUCAGUGAAUCUGCUUACCUGAUUGUGUUUCUGCAGAAAUGUUUAUAACUGGUGACAGCAAUGCCAUGUUAGGAGCCUUAAUGACGUUGGGGUCUUUAAGGUCUCUGAAAGCGGCUAUAUGA
Molecule: small nucleolar RNA, 128 nt
Organism: Erinaceus europaeus (western European hedgehog)
Lineage: Eukaryota; Metazoa; Chordata; Mammalia; Eulipotyphla; Erinaceidae
Source: Ensembl